Molecule: long non-coding RNA, 1340 nt
Organism: Peromyscus californicus insignis
Lineage: Eukaryota; Metazoa; Chordata; Mammalia; Rodentia; Cricetidae
Exons: 2
Source: RefSeq, a predicted model, not a curated record
GCUAGAAAAGGACCCAGGAGCGUCUUGUUAGCUCCCAGCCCUGGCACCAAGGCUAGCCCAGUUUCCAGCAGGCACGUGUAAGAAGCAAUUUCAUAGUUGAGAGGCUGUCUAUGCGAAGUGGCCACGGUGAGGUCAGCCUCUGUUGUGGAAGUUCACCCACUGAGAGCAGCCUCUAGGGGCUCUUGAAGGAGUCAGUGUGCUAGAGGCUCACCAUAGAGCCCGACUGGACCUCCUCACCCAGCUCUGCCUCCUUUUCCAGAAAGCCAUGUGACCACGGACAUCUUCAUGCAGAAGGGAGUUUAAAAAAUAUAUAUAUAAUAAUAAUAAUAGAGAAAAUAAGAGCCCCCUCCCCCUCUCCAAGACAGGAUGCAAAAUGUCUUUAUUCUGGCACAGGUUUGAGUUUGCCCAGCCAUGAAGGAAGGUGUUUCAUUAAUCAGAGGGAACCAACCAGCUUGGAGAAAGCCCACCUCCUUCUCCCCGCGGGGAUCGCGCACCGCUCCACUAGGUGUACUGCUGCCACCUAGCGGUGAGAAGAACACGCUGAGGCGUAAACCAAGGAAAGGAUAAGAGGGACAGUGACCUCUCCAGGUCUAAACUCCAGAUCUUUGGAGACGGUUGUCUUUGCUCAUCUCUUCCUGCGCCUUCUCAGAGUGAUUUCUGCAAGCCUCGAUUUGUAUUCCACACUGGCAGUGGGUUUUCCCAGCCAUCCUCCUGGGAACACGAGUCUAUUCUCUGCAUAAAAGCAAAGAUACAAUUAAAGCUACGCAUCAGAGAGCAAUGAAAGGAACAACUCGCAUUACCAUGGAGAGGAUGCUACCGAACAAGGCGGUUUCUGCAAACGUUCUCUGCUCACCGUAGCCCCAAACGCAGAAGAGAUGCUCCUGGUGCCUGCCUGCCUCUGCAGCCACCUGAGUCGGGUUCGCCUCAAAACACCAGGAUCUGCCCACAAAAUACGCCGUCUUCCUCGGGGGCCUGGUCCAGAGACUACGGUGUUUCCCCUAGUUCUCCGUGUAUCAUCCCACGUUUGCUUUCCUCGAAGACCGGAGGCAUUGGCUCCUGUGUUCCUAUCAGAUAGCCUUCCUCGGAUGAACCCGGACGGCCUGCUUUUCUGCCGCUGGUUCAGAUUCUAAUGUCUUGCUGUUUACUCAGCAGCAGAAAGAGGAAACAGACAUUUUGGUCCAUAAUUCAUCUCAACGGUUUCAUGGAAAGGCUUGGAAACUAUGACUCUAUGAAAUUGAUACAGGUUAAGUGACCAGGGCCACAUUAUGGUUUUUGUGGGUCCUAACUACUUUUGCAUUUGUGAGCUUCUCCUCCAUUAAAAUAUAAAAACUUGUGUUUUA